UGCACUUUCACAUUGCCCAAGGACCCAGCACCCUAACUUAAUCUGAAGAACAGCACUUCAUCUUCCAUCUGGACAUGUUGCUGCAUUCUGGAUUCAAUGUCAAGUUCUUUCAGCAGACGCAGCUCAUCCAGCUUGUUGUCGAUGGAGCGGAC
Long non-coding RNA from Hypanus sabinus (Atlantic stingray), 152 nucleotides. RefSeq lists it as uncharacterized. The transcript has 3 exons. Lineage: Eukaryota; Metazoa; Chordata; Chondrichthyes; Myliobatiformes; Dasyatidae. The record is from RefSeq and is a predicted model, not a curated record.